Molecule: small nucleolar RNA, 200 nt
Organism: Echinops telfairi (small Madagascar hedgehog)
Lineage: Eukaryota; Metazoa; Chordata; Mammalia; Afrosoricida; Tenrecidae
Product: small nucleolar RNA SNORA73 family
Exons: 1
Source: RefSeq, a predicted model, not a curated record
ACAAUGUGGACACUCUCCCCGGGCUCUGUCCAGGUGGCAUAGGGGAGCACAGGGCUCUGCUGCUGGUGCAUGGUGCCUGGUCCUUUUCUACAACGUCAGAGAUCAAGGCGGGCCUUGAGUCUAUGCCUGCAUAGGUAUUCCCACAACUGCUCAGAGUCCUGUGGACAGUAAUGAGGAGACAAGCCAUGCAGGAAAGCACC